Molecule: ribosomal RNA, 253 nt
Filed under: uncultured bacterium
Lineage: Bacteria
Description: partial 16S ribosomal RNA
Rfam family: Bacterial small subunit ribosomal RNA
Source: RNAcentral
UACGAAGGGGGCUAGCGUUGCUCGGAUUUACUGGGCGUAAAGGGAGCGUAGGCGGAUCAGCAAGUUGGGGGUGAAAGCCCGGGGCUCAACCUCGGAACUGCCUUCAAAACUGCUGGUCUUGAGUUUGGGAGAGGUGUGUGGAACUCCGAGUGUAGAGGUGAAAUUCGUAGAUAUUCGGAAGAACACCAGUGGCGAAGGCGACACACUGGCCCAAUACUGACGCUGAGGCUCGAAAGCGCGGGGAGCAAACAGG